Molecule: long non-coding RNA, 591 nt
Filed under: Cavia porcellus (domestic guinea pig)
Lineage: Eukaryota; Metazoa; Chordata; Mammalia; Rodentia; Caviidae
Description: lncRNA (ENSCPOG00000034869.1)
Source: RNAcentral
GCCUCAAACCGGGGAUGCACUUUUUCCAUUUGUCUUUCAGAGAGCUGAGAGCAGCAGUGUGACUAUGGUCAGGGUGUCCUCCUCUGAAUACAGCAGUAGAAGGAACAGCACUCAGUGCCACUGUGUGGAUCGGACAACAGCGACAAAGUCAUCAGAAUGAGGAAGGUGGCAAGCAGAAUGUGGAGGAACGUGUGUGCCUGUGUACCUAUGUGUGCACACAAAUGUAGGAGAUCUCAGGUCCAUCCUGCGGUGGGGAUGACGUGCAGACAAUAAAAGGAUGCGGUGCAGCAUGCAUUCAGGAAGCUGGAGCCCAAGCUGGCUACAGAGAGCUGGCUGCAGAUGACACGAACCUCUGGAGCUGGGAGACAGCGCAGGGGAAUGGGAGGCAGUCUGGCUGAAAUGUCCAAGUGGAAGAUGCUCAUAUGAAACUGUUGAGCAACUGGGGAUCUGAUCAUAAGGACAAAGCACCAACGUAAAGGAAGAAAAAUGCCUCAAAGUUAAGGGGAAGAAAGAGCAUGGUAUGCAGCUACUCUUCCUGGGCACACUGUGGUUUUCAAUAGACAGCAUCAUAGAUCACAGAGGACACAAAGU